UACGGGGGGGGCAAGCGUUGUUCGGAAUUACUGGGCGUAAAGGGCGUGUAGGCGGCCAUCUCAGUCAGACGUGAAAUCCCCCGGCUCAACCUGGGAACUGCGUCUGAUACUGGAUGGCUCGAAUCCGGGAGAGGGAUGCGGAAUUCCAGGUGUAGCGGUGAAAUGACGUAGAUAUCUGGAGGAACACCGGUGGCGAAGGCGGCAUCCUGGACCGGUAUUGACGCUUAAGCGCGAAAGCCAGGGGAGCAAACGGG
This 254-nucleotide ribosomal RNA is filed under the name uncultured bacterium. RNAcentral describes it as "partial 16S ribosomal RNA". It matches the Rfam family "Bacterial small subunit ribosomal RNA", at positions 524 to 776 of the family's 1533-position model. The record is from RNAcentral.